This is a long non-coding RNA of Myotis daubentonii (Daubenton's bat), 619 nucleotides long. RefSeq lists it as uncharacterized. Lineage: Eukaryota; Metazoa; Chordata; Mammalia; Chiroptera; Vespertilionidae. The record is from RefSeq and is a predicted model, not a curated record.
GUAUAAAAUUCCAAACAAUGCAGGAAUGUGUAAUCCAUAUCGAAAGUAAAAACCCAACAAUCCCAUCCCUCAAAUAUAAUCCUUGUCAUCAACAGUCUUAAUUUGGGAGGUAGAGAAGAGGCAAUUAUAAUUUCAGACUUUUUUACAUGCAAGCUCCAAACACACACACACACACACACACACACACACACACACAAUUUCAAAAACUAAAAUUGGAUCAUAUAGUAUUAUUCUACAAAAUGCUCUUAAACACUAUGUCUAAGAGACCUACCCAUGUGGCCACACAGUCUUGCCCAUUCUAACUACUGUGCAUGGGCCACAGUGUAUUUAGCCAACCCCCUACCAAUGGGCAUUUUGGUGGCUUUGUUCUUCAGUCUUACAAGCAUGCUGCAAUGAACUUUCUUGUAUGUCUAUUUUUGCUCAUUUGGAUAUGUAUCCCUGCAGGAUAAAUUCUAAGGAAGGAGGUUUGCUGGAUCAACAGGAGGAAAAAAAAAUACUGCUUUAAUUUUCAUUUCUUUCGUUAUUGUGAAGGAAAGGAAGACUAUAAACCAACAUGCUUACAUUGCCUUGGGAGUUAGGGUUGUCAACAUAAGACAACCUUUAAGCCUGUAGAGAAUUU